This 2034-nucleotide long non-coding RNA is filed under the name Lathyrus oleraceus (garden pea). RNAcentral's name for it is "Pisum sativum (pea) long non-coding RNA (PSAT_LNC040701)". The record is from RNAcentral. Lineage: Eukaryota; Viridiplantae; Streptophyta; Magnoliopsida; Fabales; Fabaceae.
AAAAACUGAAAUAUCAAUACAUUAUAAUUUAAGUCAAUAAAAUUAAUUUUAAAAAAUAUGCAUAUUAUCUUAUUUUAGUGUUUAAAACAUAAUUUUUAAAAAUCGUAUAAAAUAUGUAAUUCACUCUACCAAUGUUGGUUAGGUGUAAUAAACCUAGUCACGUUGAGAAGACUACUAUGUUAAACAAAUACAUUAAGCGGCUAAGUAACAUGCAUAUGUAUAUGCCAUUUUAAUUCAAAGUCAUGCAUUUGGAGUUUUUCAACAUAUCCUAUAAUGUUCAAAGCAAACUUAGCUCUUUACCCAUGUAUCCAUCUAAUAGGUUUCACGUUUCUAAUAAAAGUUGUUCUACGUUAUUUUUGACAUUUUGUUUUGUUUUCAUAACUUUAACCCAUCUUUGUGUAUAUAAACUUUCAUUUUCUUUAUUUUAUUUUUCAUUGUCAUUUUUUAUAACAACAUAUUAUAAUAUCAAUACAUUAUCUUUUUUAAAAUUUUAGAUUUAAAAAAUUUCAAAUAUCAAUACAUUAAAAUUUAAGUCAAUAAAAUUAAUUAUAAAAAAUAUGCAUAUUCUCUUAUUUUAGUGUUUAAAACAUAAUUCUUAAAAGUUGUAUAAAAUAAGUAAUUCACUCUACCAAUGUUGGUUUGGUGUAAUAAACCUAGUCAUCUUGAGAAGACUACUAUGUUAAACAAAUACAUUAAGCGCCUAAGUAAUAUGUAUAUGUAUAUGCCAUUUUAAUUCAAAGACAUGCAUUUGGAGUAUUUCAACCCAUCCUAUAAUGUUCAAACCAAACUUAUCUCUUUACCCAUGUAUCCAUAUAAUAGGUUUCACGUUUCUAAUAAAAUUGGUUUUAUGUUAUUUUCAAGUCUUGUUUUGUUUUCAUAACUUUAACCCAUCUUUGUCUAUAUAAACCGUCAUUUUCUUUAUUUCUUUUUUCCAUGUUCAUUUUUUUAAAACAACAUAUUAUGAUAUCAAUACAUUAUAUCUUAUAAUAAUAGAUUUAAAAAACUGAAAUAUCAAUAUAUUACAAUUUAAGUCAAUAAAAUUAAUCAUAAAAAAUAUGCAUAUUCUCGUAUUUUAGUGUUUAAAACAUAAUUUUUAUAAAAAUUGUAUAAAAUAAGUAAUUCACUCUACCAAUGUUGCUUUGGUGUAAUAAACCUAGUCACCUUGAGAAGGCUACUAUGUUAAACAAAUACAUUAAGCGGCUAAGUAGCAUGUAUAUGUAUAUGCCAUUUUAAUUCAAAGUCAUGCAUUUGGAGUUUUUCAACACAUCCUAUAAUGUUCAAAGCAAACUUAGCUCUUUACCCAUGUAUCCAUCUAAUAGGUUUCACGUUUCUAAUAAAAGUUGUUCUACGUUAUUUUUGACAUUUUGUUUUGUUUUCAUAACUUUAACCCAUCUUUGUGUAUAUAAACUUUCAUUUUCUUUAUUUUAUUUUUCAUUGUCAUUUUUUAUAACAACAUAUUAUAAUAUCAAUACAUUAUCUUUUUUAAAAUUUUAGAUUUAAAAAAUUUCAAAUAUCAAUACAUUAAAAUUUAAGUCAAUAAAAUUAAUUAUAAAAAAUAUGCAUAUUCUCUUAUUUUAGUGUUUAAAACAUAAUUCUUAAAAGUUGUAUAAAAUAAGUAAUUCACUCUACCAAUGUUGGUUUGGUGUAAUAAACCUAGUCACCUUGAGAAGACUACUAUGUUAAACAAAUACAUUAAGCGGCUAAGUAACAUGCAUAUGUAUAUGCCAUUUUAAUUCAAAGUCAUGCAUUUGGAGUUUUUCAACAAAUCCUAUAAUGUUCAAAGCAAACUUAGCUCUUUACCCAUGUGUCCAUCUAAUAGGUUUCACGUUUCAAAUAAAACUAGUUCUACAUUAUUUUCACAUUUUGUUUUUAUAAAUUUAACCCAUCUUUGUCUAUAUAAACUGUCAUUUUCUUUAUUUCUUUUUUUCAUGUUCAUGUUUUACAACAACAUAUUAUGAUAUCAAUACAUUAUAUUUUUAAUAAUAUUAGAUUUAAAAAACUGAAAUAUCAAUACAUUACAAUUUAAGUCAAUAA